This 301-nucleotide ribosomal RNA is filed under the name uncultured bacterium. RNAcentral describes it as "partial 16S ribosomal RNA". It matches the Rfam family "Bacterial small subunit ribosomal RNA", at positions 509 to 807 of the family's 1533-position model. The record is from RNAcentral.
CAGUCGCCGCGGUAAUACGUAGGGUGCGAGCGUUAAUCGGAGUUACUGGGCGUAAAGCGUGCGCAGGCGGUUAUAUAAGACAGAUGUGAAAUCCCCGGGCUCAACCUGGGACCUGCAUUUGUGACUGUAUAGCUAGAGUACGGUAGAGGGGGAUGGAAUUCCGCGUGUAGCAGUGAAAUGCGUAGAUAUGCGGAGGAACACCGAUGGCGAAGGCAAUCCCCUGGACCUGUACUGACGCUCAUGCACGAAAGCGUGGGGAGCAAACAGGAUUAGAUACCCCCGUAGUCCCUGUCUCUUAUAC